GAUGAACGCUGGCGGCGUGCCUAAUACAUGCAAGUCGAGCGAACGGACGAGAAGCUUGCUUCUCUGAUGUUAGCGGCGAACGGGUGAGUAACACGUGGAUAACCUACCUAUAAGACUGGGAUAACUUCGGGAAACCGGAGCUAAUACCGGAUAAUAUUUUGAACCGCAUGGUUCAAAAGUGAAAGACGGUCUUGCUGUCACUUAUAGAUGGAUCCGCGCUGCAUUAGCUAGUUGGUAAGGUAACGGAUUACCAAGGCAACGAUGGAUACCCGACCUGAAAGGGAGGACGCACAGACUGGAAGUGAGAAAGGGUCCAGACUCCUACAGUGAGAAGCAGUAGGGAAUCUUCCGCAAUGGGCGAAAGCCUGACAGAGCAACGCCGCGUGAGUGAUGAAGGUCUUCGGAUCGUAAAACUCUGUUAUUAGGAAAGAACAUAUGUGUAAGUAACUGGGCACAUCUUGACGGUACCUAAUCAGAAAGCCACGGCUAACUACGUG
This 497-nucleotide ribosomal RNA is filed under the name uncultured bacterium. Its description in RNAcentral is "partial 16S ribosomal RNA". It matches the Rfam family "Bacterial small subunit ribosomal RNA", at positions 28 to 507 of the family's 1533-position model. The record is from RNAcentral.